GGUUAAGCGACUAAGCGUACACGGUGGAUGCCCUGGCAGUCAGAGGCGAUGAAGGACGUGCUAAUCUGCGAAAAGCGUCGGUAAGGUGAUAUGAACCGUUACAGCCGGCGAUGUCCGAAUGGGGAAACCCAGUGCAAUUCGUUGCACUAUCGUUAACUGAAUACAUAGGUUAACGAGGCGAACCGGGGGAACUGAAACAUCUAAGUACCCCGAGGAAAAAAAAUCAACCGAGAUUCCCCCAGUAGCGGCGAGCGAACGGGGAGCAGCCCAGAGUCUGAAUCAGCUUGUGUGUUAGUGGAACGGUCUGGAAAGUCCGACGGUACAGGGUGAUAGUCCCGUACACCAAAAUGCACAGGCUGUGAACUCGAAGAGUAGGGCGGGACACGUGGUAUCCUGUCUGAAUAUGGGGGGACCAUCCUCCAAGGCUAAAUACUCCUGACUGACCGAUAGUGAACCAGUACCGUGAGGGAAAGGCGAAAAGAACCCCGGCGAGGGGAGUGAAAAAGAACCUGAAACCGUGUACGUACAAGCAGUGGGAGCACCUUCGGGUGUGACUGCGUACCUUUUGUAUAAUGGGUCAGCGACUUAUAUUCUGUAGCAAGGUUAACCGUAUAGGGGAGCCGCAGGGAAACCGAGUCUUAACUGGGCGUUAAGUUGCAGGGUAUAGACCCGAAACCCGGUGAUCUAGCCAUGGGCAGGUUGAAGGUUGGGUAACACUAACUGGAGGACCGAACCGACUAAUGUUGAAAAAUUAGCGGAUGACUUGUGGCUGGGGGUGAAAGGCCAAUCAAACCGGGAGAUAGCUGGUUCUCCCCGAAAGCUAUUUAGGUAGCGCCUCGUGAAUUCAUCUUCGGGGGUAGAGCACUGUUUCGGCUAGGGGGUCAUCCCGACUUACCAACCCGAUGCAAACUACGAAUACCGAAGAAUGUUAUCACGGGAGACACACGGCGGGUGCUAACGUCCGUCGUGAAGAGGGAAACAACCCAGACCGCCAGCUAAGGUCCCAAAGUCAUGGUUAAGUGGGAAACGAUGUGGGAAGGCACAGACAGCCAGGAUGUUGGCUUAGAAGCAGCCAUCAUUUAAAGAAAGCGUAAUAGCUCACUGGUCGAGUCGGCCUGCGCGGAAGAUGUAACGGGGCUAAACCAUGCACCGAAGCUGCGGCAGCGACACUAUGUGUUGUUGGGUAGGGGAGCGUUCUGUAAGCCUGCGAAGGUGACCUGUGAGGGUUGCUGGAGGUAUCAGAAGUGCGAAUGCUGACAUAAGUAACGAUAAAGCGGGUGAAAAGCCCGCUCGCCGGAAGACCAAGGGUUCCUGUCCAACGUUAAUCGGGGCAGGGUGAGUCGACCCCUAAGGCGAGGCCGAAAGGCGUAGUCGAUGGGAAACAGGUUAAUAUUCCUGUACUUGGUGUUACUGCGAAGGGGGACGGAGAAGGCUAUGUUAGCCGGGCGACGGUUGUCCCGGUUUAAGCAUGUAGGCUGGUUAUCCAGGCAAAUCCGGAUAAUCAAGGCUGAGGUGUGAUGACGAGGCACUACGGUGCUGAAGUAACAAAUGCCCUGCUUCCAGGAAAAGCCUCUAAGCAUCAGGUAACAUCAAAUCGUACCCCAAACCGACACAGGUGGUCAGGUAGAGAAUACCAAGGCGCUUGAGAGAACUCGGGUGAAGGAACUAGGCAAAAUGGUGCCGUAACUUCGGGAGAAGGCACGCUGGUGUGUAGGUGAAGUCCCUGCGGAUGGAGCUGAGACCAGUCGAAGAUACCAGCUGGCUGCAACUGUUUAUUAAAAACACAGCACUGUGCAAACACGAAAGUGGACGUAUACGGUGUGACGCCUGCCCGGUGCCGGAAGGUUAAUUGAUGGGGUUAUCCGUAAGGAGAAGCUCUUGAUCGAAGCCCCGGUAAACGGCGGCCGUAACUAUAACGGUCCUAAGGUAGCGAAAUUCCUUGUCGGGUAAGUUCCGACCUGCACGAAUGGCGUAAUGAUGGCCAGGCUGUCUCCACCCGAGACUCAGUGAAAUUGAACUCGCUGUGAAGAUGCAGUGUACCCGCGGCAAGACGGAAAGACCCCGUGAACCUUUACUAUAGCUUGACACUGAACAUUGAGCCUUGAUGUGUAGGAUAGGUGGGAGGCUUUGAAGCGUGGACGCCAGUCUGCGUGGAGCCAACCUUGAAAUACCACCCUUUAAUGUUUGAUGUUCUAACGUUGGCCCCUGACCGGGGUUGCGGACAGUGUCUGGUGGGUAGUUUGACUGGGGCGGUCUCCUCCCAAAGCGUAACGGAGGAGCACGAAGGUUAGCUAAUCCUGGUCGGACAUCAGGAGGUUAGUGCAAUGGCAUAAGCUAGCUUGACUGCGAGCGUGACGGCGCGAGCAGGUGCGAAAGCAGGUCAUAGUGAUCCGGUGGUUCUGAAUGGAAGGGCCAUCGCUCAACGGAUAAAAGGUACUCCGGGGAUAACAGGCUGAUACCGCCCAAGAGUUCAUAUCGACGGCGGUGUUUGGCACCUCGAUGUCGGCUCAUCACAUCCUGGGGCUGAAGUAGGUCCCAAGGGUAUGGCUGUUCGCCAUUUAAAGUGGUACGCGAGCUGGGUUUAGAACGUCGUGAGACAGUUCGGUCCCUAUCUGCCGUGGGCGCUGGAGAAUUGAGGGGGGCUGCUCCUAGUACGAGAGGACCGGAGUGGACGCAUCACUGGUGUUCGGGUUGUCAUGCCAAUGGCACUGCCCGGUAGCUAAAUGCGGAAGAGAUAAGUGCUGAAAGCAUCUAAGCACGAAACUUGCCCCGAGAUGAGUUCUCCCUGAGACUUUAAGUCUCCUGAAGGAACGUUAAAGACGAUGACGUUGAUAGGCCGGGUGUGUAAGCGCAGCGAUGCGUUGAGCUAACCGGUACUAAUGAACCGUGAGGCUUAACCUU
This 2901-nucleotide ribosomal RNA is filed under the name Klebsiella pneumoniae. Its description in RNAcentral is "23S ribosomal RNA". It matches the Rfam family "Bacterial large subunit ribosomal RNA". Lineage: Bacteria; Pseudomonadati; Pseudomonadota; Gammaproteobacteria; Enterobacterales; Enterobacteriaceae. The record is from RNAcentral.